This 253-nucleotide ribosomal RNA is filed under the name uncultured bacterium. RNAcentral describes it as "partial 16S ribosomal RNA". It matches the Rfam family "Bacterial small subunit ribosomal RNA", at positions 524 to 776 of the family's 1533-position model. The record is from RNAcentral.
UACGGGGGGGGCCAGCGUUGUUCGGAAUCAUUGGGCGUAAAGGGCGCGUAGGCGGCUUGGUAAGUCCGUUGUGAAAUCCCUCGGCUCAACCGAGGAACUGCGACGGAUACUGCUUGGCUUGAGUCCCGGAGAGGGUAGCGGAAUUCCCAGUGUAGCGGUGAAAUGCGUAGAUAUUGGGAGGAACAUCGGUGGCGAAGGCGGCUACCUGGACGGGUACUGACGCUGAUGCGCGAAAGCUAGGGGAGCAAACAGG